UACGUAGGGGGCAAGCGUUGUCCGGAUUUAUUGGGCGUAAAGCGCUCGCAGGCGGCUCGAUGCGUCGUGCGUGAAACACCCCGGCUCAACUGGGGAGGGUCACGCGAUACUGAUCGACUCGAAGGCAGGAGAGGGAAGUGGAAUUCCCGGUGUAGUGGUGAAAUGCGUAGAUAUCGGGAGGAACACCAGUGGCGAAGGCGACUUCCUGGCCUGUUCUUGACGCUGAGGCGCGAAAGCUAGGGGAGCAAACGGG
This 253-nucleotide ribosomal RNA is filed under the name uncultured bacterium. Its description in RNAcentral is "partial 16S ribosomal RNA". It matches the Rfam family "Bacterial small subunit ribosomal RNA", at positions 524 to 776 of the family's 1533-position model. The record is from RNAcentral.